RNAcentral lists this ribosomal RNA (483 nucleotides) under uncultured bacterium. RNAcentral's name for it is "partial 16S ribosomal RNA". It matches the Rfam family "Bacterial small subunit ribosomal RNA", at positions 30 to 506 of the family's 1533-position model. The record is from RNAcentral.
AUUGAACGCUGGCGGCAGGCCUAACACAUGCAAGUCGAGCGGAUGAAGGGAGCUUGCUCCUGGAUUCAGCGGCGGACGGGUGAGUAAUGCCUAGGAAUCUGCCUGGUAGUGGGGGAUAACGUCCGGAAACGGGCGCUAAUACCGCAUACGUCCUGAGGGAGAAAGUGGGGGAUCUUCGGACCUCACGCUAUCAGAUGAGCCUAGGUCGGAUUAGCUAGUUGGUGGGGUAAAGGCCUACCAAGGCGACGAUCCGUAACUGGUCUGAGAGGAUGAUCAGCCACACUGAAACUGAGACACGGUCCAGACUCCUACGGGAGGCAGCAGUGGGGAAUAUUGGACAAUGGGCGAAAGCCUGAUCCAGCCAUGCCGCGUGUGUGAAGAAGGUCUUCGGAUUGUAAAGCACUUUAAGUUGGGAGGAAGGGCAGUAAGUUAAUACCUUGCUGUUUUGACGUUACCAACAGAAUAAGCACCGGCUAACUUCGU